This 467-nucleotide ribosomal RNA is filed under the name uncultured bacterium. RNAcentral describes it as "bacterial SSU rRNA". It matches the Rfam family "Bacterial small subunit ribosomal RNA", at positions 355 to 825 of the family's 1533-position model. The record is from RNAcentral.
UAAGGAAUAUUGGUCAAUGCCCGGAAGGGUGAACCAGCCAUCCCGCGUGAAGGAUGAAGGGGCUCUGCCUUGUAAACUUCUUUUGAAUGGGACGAAAAAGCCUCACUUGUGAGGAACUGACGGUACCAUUAGAAUAAGCACCGGCUAACUCCGUGCCAGCAGCCGCGGUAAUACGGAGGGUGCGAGCGUUAUCCGGAAUCACUGGGUUUAAAGGGUGCGUAGGCGGCUGUAUAAGUCAGUGGUGAAAGGCUGUGGCUUAACCAUGGGAUUGCCAUUGAUACUGUACGGCUUGAAUUAGGAUGAGGUUGGCGGAAUGUGACAUGUAGCGGUGAAAUGCUUAGAUAUGUCAUGGAACAUCGAUUGCGAAGGCAGCUGACUGGACCUUAAUUGACGCUGAGGCACGAAAGCGUGGGGAGCGAACAGGAUUAGAUACCCUGGUAGUCCCUGAGCGGGCUGGCAAGGCGCAU